ACAAACAUAUCAUAUCACGGAUUGGACCUAACCCCAAAACAUCCCUUCCAGUCUCAGUAUGCCCGGCCCAGCCGGGUCUCACAACCUUCGUAUGCCUGGCUCGGCCAGGUCUUACAACAACUGUAUAUGUAUGCCUAGCCCGGCCAGGUCUCACAACAUCUCUAGGGCUAGUGGGGUCAUCCUUGGUCCAAUCUCCAUCAAUAGUAAAUAAUGCAAUGCUUCAUAUUCGUGUAACUAGUGCAAUCAACCUAUUACAUAUAAACAUGAUGCAUGAGCAUGCUUUAAGCAUUUGAUUUCAUAAA
RNAcentral lists this long non-coding RNA (302 nucleotides) under Manihot esculenta (cassava). Its description in RNAcentral is "long non-coding RNA (MESC_LNC002326)". Lineage: Eukaryota; Viridiplantae; Streptophyta; Magnoliopsida; Malpighiales; Euphorbiaceae. The record is from RNAcentral.